RNAcentral lists this ribosomal RNA (406 nucleotides) under Microbacterium sp. RNAcentral's name for it is "bacterial SSU rRNA". It matches the Rfam family "Bacterial small subunit ribosomal RNA", at positions 51 to 455 of the family's 1533-position model. Lineage: Bacteria; Bacillati; Actinomycetota; Actinomycetes; Micrococcales; Microbacteriaceae. The record is from RNAcentral.
AACCAUGCAAGUCGAACGGUGAACACGGAGCUUGCUCUGUGGGAUCAGUGGCGAACGGGUGAGUAACACGUGAGCAACCUGCCCCUGACUCUGGGAUAAGCGCUGGAAACGGCGUCUAAUACUGGAUAUGUGACGUGACCGCAUGGUCUGCGUCUGGAAAGAAUUUCGGUUGGGGAUGGGCUCGCGGCCUAUCAGCUUGUUGGUGAGGUAAUGGCUCACCAAGGCGUCGACGGGUAGCCGGCCUGAGAGGGUGACCGGCCACACUGGGACUGAGACACGGCCCAGACUCCUACGGGAGGCAGCAGUGGGGAAUAUUGCACAAUGGGCGCAAGCCUGAUGCAGCAACGCCGCGUGAGGGACGACGGCCUUCGGGUUGUAAACCUCUUUUAGCAGGGAAGAAGCGAAA